This 253-nucleotide ribosomal RNA is filed under the name uncultured bacterium. RNAcentral describes it as "partial 16S ribosomal RNA". It matches the Rfam family "Bacterial small subunit ribosomal RNA", at positions 524 to 776 of the family's 1533-position model. The record is from RNAcentral.
UACGGAGGGUGCGAGCGUUGUCUGGAAUCAUUGGGCGUAAAGGGCGCGUAGGUGGCGGGACAAGCGUGCGGUGAAAGCUCGGGGCUCAACCCCGAGUCGGCCGUGCGAACUGUUUUGCUUGAGCACUGUAGAGGCAGGCGGAAUUCCGGGUGUAGCGGUGGAAUGCGUAGAGAUCCGGAAGAACACCGGUGGCGAAGGCGGCCUGCUGGGCAGUAGCUGACACUGAGGCGCGACAGCGUGGGGAGCAAACAGG